Molecule: long non-coding RNA, 1151 nt
Organism: Cyprinus carpio carpio
Lineage: Eukaryota; Metazoa; Chordata; Actinopteri; Cypriniformes; Cyprinidae
Source: Ensembl
GCAAAACAGCAGAGGCGCGAUUUUACAGCGGGCGCGCGCGCAAACAAGAGCCUCCAACCUCAGAUCGAUUUGAGCAUAUCAGUCACAAUGCCCUAUCAGCGAGGUGCAGGGUAACCUGAUUUUAGGAGGAGUUAUGGGAUUUGCGCGCGGGGCGGGGGGCUCCCGCGCUCCAACAAAAGGCCCGCGUUAAAUCGCUGGCAGCGGCGCGGCGACGCUCGGAAAGCCGGUUACGGAGCGCUCGCUUCCCGAGGAAACGAUUGCGCGAUCCGCGAGGAACCGGCUGCCACUGGCGAUGUUCUUCCUGCGGCUGUUCUUGUCAGGUGUAAUCAUUUUGUUGCGCUUAAUGUUUUAUGCAAAUGCGCUCGGGUUGGGUUGUUCGGGGGCCUGUGGGUGUGCGGCGCGCGCUUCGCAUCACGGGGGGGUUUGUGUGAGGCCGCAGGACACAUCGCGGCUGCGGGUUUCCUGAUGAAGAGCGUCGGGAUACAGGAACAUCCUCCUCAUCCUCACCUCUGAUGCACCUGUGCAUCACUGAAGCCACACACGACACAUCACUCAUGGUUGGUGGACCUGUACUGUACUCUGGUCUUCACUUCAAAGAGUAGUUCCAUGCAAAGCCAAACAUAUUUCUAUUUGUGAAAAUACACCAGCAUGCACUUUCACUACACUAAUGAAAAACAGCUGUGCAGAGAGUGCAGAAGAUACAAGAAGGCUAUAAUAGCACCAGGAUGAACCACAUACAAACAAAUAUAUGAAUAAUUGGAGAUGUUGAAGUUAACUUACUCGAUUGAAAGACCUUAGGGUGCGUUCAGCUCCUCCUGGGAAGUUCGUGUUUAUGUAAUUCCGACAUCAUGUGCAUUGAAAUCACUUCGGUCAGAGAAAGAUGUGAUGCUAAAAUAUGUGAUUUUUUCAACAAAAUUAUGACUGAAGAACAUGCAUUGGAUUUGUUUAGCUGGUAACACUUUACAUUGAUAGUCUACUUUAUACAUUCUACUAACAGUAAGUAACUUUGCAACUACGUGUCCACUAGCAGUCAUUAGAGUAUUAGUAGACUGUCUGCUUAAUGUCUGCUCACACUUUAUUAUGAAGGGUCCACAACAUACUGACUUUAAGAAACUUUGCAAGUAUAUGUCAACUUAUUCUACUAACCCUAA